RNAcentral lists this long non-coding RNA (350 nucleotides) under Mytilus galloprovincialis (Mediterranean mussel). The record is from RNAcentral. Lineage: Eukaryota; Metazoa; Mollusca; Bivalvia; Mytilida; Mytilidae.
CCCGAAUAAUUCAGUCGUUAUAUUCCGCUGAUCUACGAAGGCUACAUUAACGCCUGAACGUCUUCCUCGAUCAAGACCGUCAACCGGAAAAUUCACACCGCUUUGCAAUAUGGGAAUUUUGAUUUAAAUUGGCAGCUAAAGAAGGAGGAGUUCCGGAUGUUAAUUGAUGAUAAAUGAUGUAAACUGAUGUUAAUUGAUGUUAAUUAAUUAUUAUCGGAUUUGUGUUAAUUGAACACACGUGUUUAGAAAGACAAUUUCAAGAGAGUUGCGCAGACUCAUAUCCUGAUCGACGCUGAUUGGCUCUCUCUCACAGAGAGCAGGCGACGCGGCCAAUGAUCACAAGGAGUUCA